This 71-nucleotide transfer RNA is filed under the name Strongylogaster xanthocera. RNAcentral's name for it is "tRNA-Arg". The record is from RNAcentral. Lineage: Eukaryota; Metazoa; Arthropoda; Insecta; Hymenoptera; Tenthredinidae.
AAGUUUGAAUCAAUUAAUUGUAAUCAGUUUCGACCUGAUAUUUAAGUUUAAUUAAAUUAAACUCUAACUUA